Molecule: long non-coding RNA, 1759 nt
Filed under: Homo sapiens (human)
Lineage: Eukaryota; Metazoa; Chordata; Mammalia; Primates; Hominidae
Description: HSALNT0390200
Source: RNAcentral
AGUCACUCCCACCCCAAAGCCAGGGAAACAUCAUCUUGUCACCUCUGGAUUUCUCCUCACCCCCUUGGGUUAAAGCUGAGCAGACAGGGUGGCACUUCUGAAUUCAGAGGCUGCAAUGAGCUGAGAAAAACAAGCAUCUGUGGCCCCCUCCAGGACCCACCAAGUAGAGGGGAUGUUGCCCCGGGUGCUGCAGGAGGUGGGAAGGGGACUCCAAGGAAGUUGUCCUCCCUAGAGAGUCCAUCAGCAAAUUGUCUCAUGUAGCCAUAACAGCCAGGAGCAAGGCAGGGAAGGAGGGUUUUGUCUAAGGAAAACCAGUGUAUUGUAAACAGGAUAAAAGGGGCUGGAAAGCCCCACUUAUCACUGACUAAUAUGUCCCCAGGUCAUCGGGGAGCUGGACCCCUACCAGCAGCCCUGAGGAGGGAAAGAAUUCCCGAUUAACCCCAUCACCUGUGAGCUGGGCCAGGGCAAAGGUCUGGCUUUUUCUCUUGCUAAAUGAUUCCCAUGGUCAUUAGGCAUUCGCAGGGCUCAGCAGCAUUUCUAGGAAGCCCUCCCAGACUAGAGAAAUGCCUUCUGCACCCGCUGCUCUUUGGGGCCAUACGGAGCAGGGAGUAGGUGUGCACAUCCUUGGGACAGCAGGAGAGGAGGUGUGAGGAAGGCAGAGGUGGCAUGAGGCUAGGGGAAGCUGCAGGGGGAGGAUGGUGGUCUUCUGGUCAAUCGUGGGUGUGGAACAGACUUGUGUGUCACAUCAAGCGAUGGGGGUUGGCCUAGUGUAGACUUGAGGGGCUGGCUGAGAGAUUGGUCACUCUGGGCUCUCACUAAUAAUGAUCUCAUUCAUUCCUUACGAGCUCCUCAUAUCCAGGUAUCUUAAUUUAUAUUUAUUUAUUUUAUUUAUUUUGAGACGGAGUCUCAUUCUGUCACCCAGGCUAGAGUGCAGUGGCGUGAUCUCGGCUUACUGCAACCUCUGCCUACCAGUUCAAGCGAUUCUCCUGCCUCAGCCUCCUGAGUAGCUGGGACUACAGGCGUGUGCCACCAUGCCCGGCUAAUUUUUAUAUUUUUAAGUUGAGACGGGGUUUUACCAUGUUGGCCAGACUGGUCUUGAACCCCUGACCUCAGGUGAUCCACCCACCUUGGCCUCCCAAAGUGCUGAGAUUACAGGCGUGAGCCACAGUGCCCAGCUAUCUUAAUUUGCAGAUGAGAAACAACACUGAGACUCAGCCGGGUUACGUAAAACAUCCAAAGCUAUGCAGCAGGCUGAUGGCCAGCUGAGACCUAAAUUUAGGCCUCACUGACUCCUACCUUGGGCAUGUAAGCACCAGUUGGAUCAGAUACACCAGGGAAACUGAGGCCCAGAAAGGGAUGUGAUCUGCCCGAUUGUGCAGAAUUCAGAGCCCAGCUGGAACCUGAAUGUCCUGACCCCCCAUCCAGUGCCCCCCUUCCUACUCUAUGCUGCCUCUCGGGUGACACACACAGCAGCAAGUGAGCCCUGCAGACAGAGACAUUCUAGAACCCAGGCCUGGGACCAGUGCUCAGGAGCCAUACUCUCAGCUAGAUUGCCUUCAGCCUGCCAGGAGGAGGAGCAGCCCAGUCCAGACUGAAAGCCUCCAAGGAGGAAGUUCUACCGGCUUCUCCAUGCCUCCAAACCCACUGUACCUUGUGCAUUCCAUCUGGAAUUUUCUUCUGUUGAAAGGAAGGUGCUGGGUGGGAGGAGGAGGGAGAGGAUCAGGAAAAAUAACUAAUAAAUACUAGGCUUAAUAUCUGA